This 67-nucleotide small RNA is filed under the name Lysinibacillus sp. AC-3. RNAcentral describes it as "Bacillaceae-1 RNA". It matches the Rfam family "Bacillaceae-1 RNA". Lineage: Bacteria; Bacillati; Bacillota; Bacilli; Caryophanales; Bacillaceae. The record is from RNAcentral.
UAUAGAGGAACGAAGGCUAGAAGCAUCACUUCCUGUGAUAACGCCUUCGUGACCAACAUUGUGCUGC